GUAGGUGAACCUGCGGAAGGAUCAUUAUCACGUAUCCACGUAUAAACCAUUGUGAACCGUUCUAUUACCUUUGUUGUGUAAAUGAAUGAAAUUGGUGUGUUCUCUCCGGAGUC
RNAcentral lists this unclassified non-coding RNA (113 nucleotides) under rhizosphere metagenome. RNAcentral's name for it is "partial ribosomal RNA internal transcribed spacer region". The record is from RNAcentral.